Carassius gibelio (silver crucian carp) is the source of this 499-nucleotide non-coding RNA. NCBI's taxonomy places the organism in Eukaryota, Metazoa, Chordata, Actinopteri, Cypriniformes, Cyprinidae. The record is from the annotation of a RefSeq genome assembly.
CCAGGUAAAUGAUGCGAGUGUGUUUGCAUAUUGAUCAGAUGCUUCAGUGCUCUGAGAGUGUUUAUAGUGCUGUGAGUUUAACACUUCAUCACUGACACACACAACAAUCUUCAUCAACAUGACCUUCAUCAUCAUCUUCAUCUGGACUCUCACAGCGUUUGCUCAAGAGUGUAGAGGACAGAUCAGCGUCACUCAGAGUCCCUCAACGACAGCAGCUCAACCAGGAGAAACAGUGAAGAUCAGCUGUAGAACCAGCACAGAUGUGUACAGUGGUUAUUAUCAUUAUUUAGCCUGGUACUUACAGAAACCUGGAGAAGCUCCUAAACUCCUGAUUUAUUAUACAAACCUCCUCCAGUCAGGAACUCCAUCUAGAUUCAGUGGCAGUGGAUCUAACAGUGAUUUCACUCUGAGCAUCAGUGGAGUCCAGACUGAAGAUGCUGGACAUUAUUACUGUCAGAGUGCUCACUAUAUCAGUAGUAGCUGGGUGUUCACACAGUGA